UCAAACUUGGUCAUUUAGAGGAAGUAAAAGUCGUAACAAGGUUUCCGUAGGUGAACCUGCGGAAGGAUCAUUAUCAGAGCUAGGGUCCUCGAGGCCCGAACUCCCUACACCCUAUGCCUACCGCCUGUGUCCGAUCCCCCCUUGACGCGGCUCGCUUCGCCGGGCAAAACCGUUCGGGGGGGUGACCAAUACCCACGGAAUGGCUGCGACCUGGUGUUACCAGGCGCGAAAACGGAAAGCUUCAGGAAAACUUUCAACAACGGAUCUCUUGGUUCUGGCAUCGAUGAAGAACGCAGC
This 297-nucleotide unclassified non-coding RNA is filed under the name uncultured fungus. RNAcentral's name for it is "partial contains small subunit ribosomal RNA, internal transcribed spacer 1, and 5.8S ribosomal RNA". The stretch from base 1 to 73 matches the Rfam family "Eukaryotic small subunit ribosomal RNA", at positions 1759 to 1831 of the family's 1831-position model. The record is from RNAcentral. Lineage: Eukaryota; Fungi.